RNAcentral lists this ribosomal RNA (292 nucleotides) under uncultured bacterium. Its description in RNAcentral is "partial 16S ribosomal RNA". The record is from RNAcentral.
GGACUACUAGGGUUUCUAAUCCUGUUUGCUCCCCACGCUUUCGCGUCUCAGCGUCAGUCAUCGUCCAGAAGGCCGCCUUCGCCACCGGUGUUCCGCUUGAUAUCUACGAAUUUCACCUCUACACCAAGCAUUCCGCCUUCCUCUCCGAGACUCAAGCUACGCAGUUUCGGGUGCACUUCCAUGGUUGAGCCAUGGGAUUUCACAUCCGACUUGCGCAGCCGCCUACACGCGCUUUACGCCCAGUAAUUCCGAACAACGUUUGCACCCUCUGUCUUACCGCGGCUGCUGGCAC